CCAAAACCCUGCAUUUUUUUGUUUUUGCCCUUGAAUCAGCAGCAGUGGGACCACCCAAGAAAGAGUUUGAAUCAGAGUCACUUCAGUGAGUCAAUCAAACUACUGCAAGUCACAGAAGCAGAGGAUCCAGCCCAGAGUGCUCAGCUGCUGUAGCAGCUUUCCCAAGGGUACAGACCCUGGGAUUAUCUGCUGCUCUUUGCUGUGCUGCUGCUCCUGGCUCACUCCCACCAGUGCCUGCAGCUCCAAGAGGAGUCAGUGCUGUUCACAUGGGGGACUUUGCCAGAAUAAAACUGGCCCUGCCACGAUUCUCCUCAUUCCCUCAGUGGGAAGAGGACUGGCCCAACUGCUGACAAAGUGUUAUGACCCAGCCCUGAAGGCGAAGGUAGCUGAGAACUACAGAGAUGAAUGACUGGAGUUGCCACAGGGCUAUAAAUCUCUUGGAUAACUGGUCUGGGACAUGCACAGACUGUGUGAGGUCCUUUCAAAAUCAAAACAGCAAAGAGAAAAAUCUGGAGAAGACAUCAUGAAGCAGCAAACCAGAGGGUCUUUUCUGAAAUAGGUAAAUGAACAUAUAUCUAAACUUUCUGAAGAAUCAAUGGUUGCUCCAACAGUAAGCAAGGAUGAGUCCUUUCCUCACCAGAUUUCUGUUUUAAAGGAUUGAGAGAAGGCUAACUGUAAGUACCAGACUCUACUGUUUUUUUUUUCUUCUCACUUUACUGUGAAAUUAUGCUGAAGCUAAUUGCCUCUCUGAGGCUAAUUGCCUCUGCUGCAUGUGGUUAAAAAAGAUUCAUCUUGGGUUUAGCUCAUGCUUUCUAUAAUUCCUUUAACACAGACUUCUCAUCCAAUUCUUCAGUGCUCUUUCUCUAGGGAAAUAGACAAAAACAACCCCAAAAUAAUUCGUCUGCAGCCUAUUUGAGUUUCUUAGGGUAUCAACCAGUCUUUGGAGGUGCUCCUUUGCUACUUUGGAGAGAUUAAGAGUAGUGUUCCCAACAUGAUAUAUAUUGUGCUGUGAUCUGUUUCAUGUGCCUCAAAAGAUACAGCUGGAAAGUAGAUGGCUCAGAAAACUCAUCUGUGAGGCAAAGAUUCAGCUUUUCAGAGUGAAACUCCAGCAUCUCAAUUCAUCAAACACAUAUUUUGUGUAGGCCACCAUCAAAUUUUAGAUGGUUUGUGGCUGCAUUUUGGAUCUAUUUUGCCAUGACCAGUUACAUUGGAAUUCAGUUAGGAUUAGUCACACCACCUCUCCCAGUAGAAAAAUAGUCCUACUGAAACCUUUUACCAGCACUCUUCCAGUUCACACGAGCUACCUGACUGCAGAACUGUGACCUGUGUUUCUGUGAGCAAUACAUUUCUGGUUUGCUUUUGUUAGGCUUUUGAUUUUUUUUUGUUUGCAGGCAGAUGUUUAAGAGACA
This 1409-nucleotide long non-coding RNA is filed under the name Zonotrichia albicollis (white-throated sparrow). Its description in RNAcentral is "lncRNA (ENSZALG00000009944.1)". The record is from RNAcentral. Lineage: Eukaryota; Metazoa; Chordata; Aves; Passeriformes; Passerellidae.